ACUAAUUAAGGGAUUCUAACAGUAACUCUUUUGGAAACUAUUAACAGUUUAAUGUGCAGUGUUUAGUCUGGAAAAUGAAUGAGAGUUGCAUAGGAAAUUGUCUUGUUGAAAGGAUGAAGUGGUUCUCAGCUAAAUGUUGCUUGAAUUUCUAUUAGAAGUAUUUUCGUACUUAUUUCUUGUCCUUUAGGAGCCUGAUAUACAUACAAAUAAAAGAAUGUAGUGGUAACUAUCCGUGCAUGUGUGAUUUAGUUGUUGCACUGGUAAGGUGCUAUGUUUUUUCAUUUGACAAAAAAAAGAAAAAGUUGCUAUAAUUUUUCGUACUAGAGAGGUUGUACUAAUUAUGCAUUUAUGUUUUAUACUAAAAAUAUGUUCUUAAAUUUUGUGGGCACAUAUACCUUUUUUUGGGGAUUUUAUUUAUCCAUGUUCAAUAUUUGCAGGUACAAGUUCAC
RNAcentral lists this unclassified non-coding RNA (449 nucleotides) under Hevea brasiliensis (rubber tree). The record is from RNAcentral. Lineage: Eukaryota; Viridiplantae; Streptophyta; Magnoliopsida; Malpighiales; Euphorbiaceae.